Phalacrocorax carbo (great cormorant) is the source of this 1361-nucleotide non-coding RNA. Lineage: Eukaryota; Metazoa; Chordata; Aves; Suliformes; Phalacrocoracidae. The record is from RefSeq and is a predicted model, not a curated record.
CCUAGGAAAAAGUGAUUUUAAAAAAGAGAAAAAGAAAAAAGCACCUUUGUUUUUCAGAACAUUAUGGCACAUGCAAAGAAGUUUCAGGAUUAAUUUGGAGCUUCUCACUUUCCUCUUUCCCCUCUCCUUUCCCUUCCACCCCCCAAGGGCAUGACUACUUUUUCCUCAUUUUCUGAUUUUGUUACUACUUAGCUUUUCCAAGAGACAAAUGAAUGCAGACUCAUACUUUCUUACUCUCUUUACCAAAAGCACGGAUAAUUUUAAGAACCAGAAAUUCGUGAGUGUGCUCAUCCAUGCAACUGUUUCCAAAAAUGAAGUUAUUAUUACUUGUCUAUUGAAACAAGACCUCGUUUGAAAAAACAGUGAAAACUUUUGUUUAACCAGAAGCCAGAGUAUCUUCUGUAUUUUCCUUUUCAAUACAAUGUGAUCUCAGCAAAGCAUAGUACUAACCCACUACCAAAAACGCACGGUUAACUCAAUUCCACGAGGGAUGAACCAAGCCUGGUGUCCUAGGUAGGUUAUCUCCCUCCAACCCAGGACUCAACCAGAUCAAAAGCUGUAUUAGACGGGAUGGGAGGCUUGAACAACAUGUGAGAAAAAAACAUAUAGCUUUUUUCUUACAAAGAACAUGGCCAGUUUUAUUUUUUUUAAAAUCACUUUAUGGCAUGAAUUUUAGGCUGGAGACAGUGUCUCCAAGAAAUGUCUUCAAGAAGCAUGAAGAAAGCACACAGCCGAGACAUAUUCCACAGUGAGAUGAGAGCUACUUUCCAACUCAACAAAGCAACAUGGAAAAAACACCUCAUGCUGCUGCUUCUAGAAUAAAAAAGCAAACCAAAAGAACCCCAAGCUCACUGUUGAGUGACUGAGAAGAAAUCAACCUUAAAACCAAAGGGAUGCUGACUUCCAUUGCUGGCAUAGGAUAAGGAGUGUUUGGCAAUUUCUGUAGGUAAGGAAAUUUCAAGAUUUUCCUUUGCAUCUGAUGUUAACAGGAACUGUCCUUUAGUUUUCAAGCUACCAAAGAGUUUUUCUUCCUAGAAACAUACUAAAUUGCUUCUUACAGAAAUGUUAGACCAGUAUAGCUGUCAUAGCAUUUCCUUUACCUUGGAUGCAUGAAUUUGUGAUUCCAUUUUCUACAGCUCCUUGGAGUUCUUUGGGUAGUGCUUCAGUGACACUCGCAGCAUACUCGAUGAUGGGUUUUGUUGUUGCUCUCUCCCCUAACCUAGGCCUCACCUCUAACUCUGCAGUUACAAGGUGUCGUUUAUCUCCUACUGUUUUAUCCAAUGUAUCUACAGGAAAAAAGAAAGCUAAACAACUGUUUGGAAAAAAUCCUGAUACAUAAAAUAAAUCUGAAAGUGACUCAU